GCACUACUGAGGAGUCCCAUAAUAGGACGAAACGGCCGUCCAGUAC
Non-coding RNA from Schistosoma rodhaini, 46 nucleotides. The record is from Rfam. NCBI's taxonomy places the organism in Eukaryota, Metazoa, Platyhelminthes, Trematoda, Strigeidida, Schistosomatidae.